Mycena capillaripes is the source of this 85-nucleotide non-coding RNA. The record is from the annotation of a GenBank genome assembly. NCBI's taxonomy places the organism in Eukaryota, Fungi, Basidiomycota, Agaricomycetes, Agaricales, Mycenaceae.
CGCCUUGUAGUCCAACGGUACGAUACCAGCAAUCCUUGGAAACGAGAUCAGCUGGAGAUUGCGAGUUCGAUUCCCGCCAAGGCCA